This 253-nucleotide long non-coding RNA is filed under the name Elaeis guineensis (African oil palm). Its description in RNAcentral is "long non-coding RNA (EGUI_LNC051638)". Lineage: Eukaryota; Viridiplantae; Streptophyta; Magnoliopsida; Arecales; Arecaceae. The record is from RNAcentral.
CAGUUUCACCUUGAGGGCACUGAUCCUGGCGGCCUGGGCCCAAAUCCGAUCGCUGGAGCUCUUCUUGCAUUCCUCGAGCUCCUUUGCGAAGUUCACCUUCCUCCAGCUAUACUCCAUGAUCCCCUUCACAUAGAGACUCCGAAAGUGGGCGGCCUCAGCGGCAGCUUCAGAGUGACCUUCCCUCGAUUUACGGAGCUCGCCUUCCAUCUUCUUUAACUUCUUUGUCAGGUAAAGGACUUCUUUCUUCAGCCGC